CGCCCAAACAAGUCAUCCUUGUAAACAUAUCUAACGCACCUGUAUUACCGUAGUUUGGCACGCGCAUUUACGCUGGGCUCAGAGACCAAAUCCGAGCUCGUGCACUAAAUCCAUUUGAAAGCAAAGAGGCCGCGGGUUGCUUUGCGCUUCUUUCCUAGAGUCGCUCAAUCCGCUCGGUUUAAUCUUCGGACCGAGGGUUACCCGGUGUUCUGAGCGCGGCAGCGGUCCUUCGGUUAACGACGCACUGACAGCGCGGGAGCGGUUCGGAGAGAAGAAUGGAGAGUUCAAGCAACACUGCGGCGGCCAAGGCUGCGGACCCCAACAGCUCCCAGGCUGCCGCCUCCGGAGCGGCUGAAGACAAAGCCACCGCUCCGCAGAAUGUAGCGUCGACAACCCCGACGAGAAUCUCAAGGCCCGCCCGCACGGAGACUGUGAAGGGCCAGAUCUUUGACGUGGGCCCCCGCUAUGUGGACCUGUGUUACAUCGGGGAGGGGGCGUACGGGAUGGUGGUCUCUGCUCAGGAUGUCGUAAGAAACACGCGUGUGGCCAUCAAGAAGAUCAGCCCGUUUGAGCACCAGACCUACUGCCAGCGCACGCUGAGGGAAAUUAAGAUCCUGCUGCGCUUCAACCAUGAGAACAUCAUCGGGAUCAACGACAUCAUCAGGGCAAAGCACAUUGACAACAUGAAAGACGUCUACAUCGUGCAGACUCUCAUGGAGACAGACUUGUACAAGCUGCUGAAGACCCAGAAGUUGAGCAACGACCACGUCUGCUACUUCCUCUACCAGAUGCUGAGAGGCCUCAAGUAUAUCCACUCUGCCAACGUGUUGCAUCGUGACCUCAAGCCCUCCAACCUGCUCAUCAACACCACCUGCGACCUCAAGAUCUGUGACUUUGGGCUGGCACGGAUAGCCGAUCCUGAACACGACCACACCGGCUUCCUGACUGAAUAUGUGGCAACACGUUGGUACAGGGCUCCAGAAAUCAUGCUCAACUCUAAGGGCUAUUCCAAGUCCAUUGACAUCUGGUCUGUGGGCUGCAUCCUAGCUGAAAUGCUCUCCAACAGGCCAAUAUUCCCUGGGAAACACUACUUGGAUCAGCUCAACCACAUCUUAAGCAUUCUUGGCUCGCCAUCUGAAGAAGAUCUGAACUGCAUCAUUAACGUAAAGGCCAGGAACUACCUGCAGUCCCUGCCGGACAGAGACAAGGUCCCCCUGGAAAAGCUCUUCCAAAAGUCAGACCCCAAAGCUCUGGAGCUGUUGGGCUUCAUGUUGACCUUUAACCCCAACAAGCGCAUUACUGUUGACGAGGCCCUGGCUCACCUGUAUCUGGAGCAGUAUUAUGAUCCCACAGAUGAGCCCGUGGCAGAGGAGCCCUUCACUUUCAGUAUGGAGCUGGAUGAUCUUCCCAAGGAGAAGCUGAAGGAGAUGAUCUUUGAAGAAACGGCUCGUUUCCAGUUCUCCUGAGACGGCCUUUAGCGUGUCAAUCAUGUUGGCUGUACAUGCUGUCUGUCCAAACAAGCCAUUCAAUUGUCCUAACCUGUGACGAGGCCACACACGGACUUGGAUCAAGAAGACCCUGAACGACAUGCUUAAAGAAAAAAAACCUGCAUCUUCGAGAAACCAACAAGUGAAAACAGGAAAUAUGAACAUUUAACUGCUUAUCUUUGCAUUUCCUACUGCGAGGGAGAUUUAAGUGUAAGUUAGAUGUCUGUGGCUGGGUGGGGUUAUGGCGUCUGUCCAAGCCCGUUAGGUCCGCGGUGAACUCCUCACCUCGCCUCAUGCCUGUUUUCUUCUUCAAAGUCCCUCUUCACUCUUUUUUUCUUACGUCCGCCGUCUCCUCAUCGAUCUGUCUCUCAUCGGUUACUCCGCUCUCGUUUCUACCCCGACUACUGUAUUAACCAACACCCUAACGCUCACUCAAGUCUUGAUCAAUGUGAACUAUUCUUACUGAGGGCUAAAAGAACAGCGAUGCUAACAGGGUGUGUGCAUGUACAUAGAAAAUAUAAAAGCUUUGGUUGGUCUGUUUGAUUUUAAAUGUGCUUGUUGCAGGUUUUGUUUGUGAAAGUAUUUUUGGAGUUAAUUAUUCGCGAGUUCUGUUCGAACGCUUGAUUUCUAGGCUAACGUCCAAUGUUUUUAGAGGCAUGUUGGCAGGAUUUCUGUGUAGUUUUUGUUUUCAGGCAAAAGAAAUGUUGUGAUGCUCAUUUAAAGAAUGCAAUCCUGGGAUUUACCAAAGUGGCAGAGAAGAACGUACAUCAGAUGCUACGUAAAUAAUUGGAUAUAAAGUUUCAGCUGUGACACCAAAGUCUCAUUCUCCUGAACCUUUGAGGUGUUUCCUGACCCCCACCCCCCCACCCCCCCCACCCCCGAGCCGUAAGUUUAAAGCUCUCCUGUUGCUCUACGGAGGCGGGUGACUUGGGAGCUACUCACCCCUCAGUAGUUGUUCAGCCGGACCCGCAACCCCUCGGUUGACCCGUGUACCGUUAAAGGAACUGGUAUUUGUUCAUUACAAUGGAAUGCACUCGUGAUCCGACUCGCUCAGACAGCAGAAAAUGUUUGAGUGUUUAAUCGACAACAAAAUGAUUGAGCAGUAGUCGCAUGAGUUUUUUUCCCUCCCUCUGCUUGUAGCUGUGCUUCUGCUUGACCUCUCUGCGUUGUCAUGGUUACGGUUAACAAACAGGAUGUGUACGCUUCAUCGUGAGUGAUGCAGUGCUACGGUUGUGCUCAUUUCUUCUGCGAGUGUGCCUCAGUAUUACUCCUCCAUCGGCCGUCAAUGCGCUCCGCCUGUCUCGGGUCCUGUCCAGUCUGCUUUAAUGUUUUUGCCUGUUCCACUGGGACCAGUAAAAGAGAAGCCUGCAAAAAUGGACCAACCCUGCGCUGGAAUGCUGGUUUAGGUGCUGCAAUGCAGAUCCGACUGGCGUGAGCGUGCCUGGUUUGUUUUUAGGAGCUGCAUCGGCCACUGUUCUCUCUGAAGCCAUAGCCAGCGCUCUGGGACUGAUGUGCAGUGAUGAUUAUUCAUGCUCAACUCCCACCAUGCUUUACUCAAAGGGCUGCCUCCUCCUCCUCCUCCUUUUAAAGUCUGACUCCACUCAGAAAACCAUUCUCUCUCUCUGGCUCAUCUGGAUCAUGCACAGCAGGACACCUGCAGUCACACGACUCAAUCAGCACGUCUGCACUUUGUCUUUCAAGCCACGCCCCCUCAUUCCUUUUUUAAGGCCUUCAUAUCUUCUGUCCUGCUUGUAAAGCUUUCCGUUUCUUGUGCGUUAAUAACUAAUCAAGUGUCCAUCAGUGUAAGACUGUUUGUAUCUACUCCAUAAAGCCAAGGCUCUUCUUUGUGUGUUUGUGGGGUUUUCUUGGGUCCUCUGGCUCUGACACAGCUCUGGAGGUUUCGUGUACGCUUUGUUUUGGUUUUCUUUCUCUGAUCUGGGUAAACUAGAAGGUUGCCAUCCUACGGUCCUCCUCUCUCUCUCACACACACACACACCCUCAUGUUUCUGAGGAGCGCGUCAGCGUUUUUUUUGGACAAGUUGCACUUAAUCACACACUGUAUGGACCGGGCCCUUUUCCUGACGUUGCUUUUAAAUGGCUGUUCUUAUUAAUGUUAUCGUUGUUAUAUUGGUGAAAUGUUGUAUUAAUUUUUAUGUAAAAGGGAGUUUGAAAUAUAUAUUUUUUAUUAGUAUGUUUUAUUUGGGGUUUUUCUUUCAGGUGUUAUUGUUGGCAGUGUUUUCAGUCUUUCUGAAACUUACAUAUUGUUUCGUUCCCCCUUAAAUGUCUUCUAAAGAGUUAUUUUAAAAGAUUAUUUACUGAGAUUGUCAGAGAUAUGAGUUAUUGACGGUUAUAGUCCGUAUAUUCUAUGGGUAUUAUGAAUUAAACCAUUAACAGAAACAGAAUUAUACACAUGUAAUUAAAUAAAAAGUUCCUCAUACUGUAAAA
This is an RNA transcript of Nothobranchius furzeri (turquoise killifish), 3932 nucleotides long. It is a transcript of the gene named mitogen-activated protein kinase 3, with no coding region annotated. Lineage: Eukaryota; Metazoa; Chordata; Actinopteri; Cyprinodontiformes; Nothobranchiidae. The record is from RefSeq and is a predicted model, not a curated record.